CAUCACUAUGCUAGAUGCAUAUCAAUAAGCGGAGGAAAAGAAACUAACUAGGAUUCCCUUAGUAACGGCGAGUGAAGCGGGAAGAGCUCAAAUUUGAGAUCUUCAAGGUUUUACCUUGACGAAUUGUAGUUUAAAGAAGUGUUUUCUGUUGGAGUUUCGGUAAAAGUUCUUUGGAAUAGGACAUCAUAGAGGGUGAGAAUCCCGUAUUUGACCAUUACUUUCCAACUGUGUGAUACACUUUCAAAGAGUCGGAUUGUUUGGGAAUGCAGUCCAAAAUGGGUGGUAAAUUUCAUCUAAAGCUAAAUAUUGGCGAGAGACCGAUAGCGAACAAGUACCGUGAGGGAAAGAUGAAAAGAACUUUGAAAAGAGAGUUAAACAGUACGUGAAAUUGUCAAAAGGGAAGCGUUUGACACCAGUGUUGUUUUUCUCGAAAAUCAAUUACAAAUGGUUGGAUUUUGAGAUUGUAUGACUUCAUCAGCUUCUGCACUUCUCUCUUAUACUUUCUUAAUGCACUUUUCGUUAACAAGUCAACAUCAAUUUCUUUUGUUGUAAAAGAGUCAUGAGUAAGGUGGCUUUCUUUUCGGAGAAAGUGUUUAUAGCCUUGUAGCCUCUGCAAUCGGAGAGAUUGAGGUCUGCAGCGUAGAUCCUUCGGGGUUAGAUACAUUUGUGCUAAGUUAUAGCUUUUCAUAGACAACUUGUUGACUAUGAUUAAGUCAUUGUAGCUUACUCGCUUAUGCUAUUUUACCUACGCUUAGGAUGUUGACACACGCGCGUGCUCG
Molecule: ribosomal RNA, 779 nt
Filed under: uncultured Neocallimastigales
Lineage: Eukaryota; Fungi; Neocallimastigomycota; Neocallimastigomycetes; Neocallimastigales
Description: partial large subunit ribosomal RNA
Rfam family: Eukaryotic large subunit ribosomal RNA
Source: RNAcentral